This 583-nucleotide long non-coding RNA is filed under the name Brassica rapa (field mustard). RNAcentral describes it as "long non-coding RNA (BRAP_LNC003355)". Lineage: Eukaryota; Viridiplantae; Streptophyta; Magnoliopsida; Brassicales; Brassicaceae. The record is from RNAcentral.
CGGGUUUAGGGUUUAGCAUUAGGAUUUAGGGUUUAGUGUUUUGUUGAUUGUGUUAAAAAUAUAUUUUUUUUAAUUCAAAAAUUUAAAAUUUAUCAAAGGGUUUAGGGUUUACCAAAGGUUUAGGGUUUACCAAAGGUUUAGGGUUUAGAUUUAGAGUUUAGUGUUUUGUUUAUGGUAUUAAUUUUUUUUUGAAAACUUUUUUUUGCAACUACUAUUAUUUUUAUUUAUUUAUACUUUUUUAAUUUUAAAAAUGUAAUAUAAUUUGACAAUAUUUUGUUUCCUUUUUUAAAAGAUAUCAGAUUUGAAAUAACUAAAUCUUAUUGGUUGGUGAACCUAUAGGUUCACCCUAGGGGGUGAACCCAAGAAUAACUCAAUAGUAAUUGAUUGGUUAUCAGUUUAUGCAAAUAUCUUGUUACGUGGUUGUUUUCUGAUGUUUGAAAGGUUGUUUGUUACAUGUUAAUAGGUUACAUUUUAAAUAUUCUUAAACACAUUAAAAUGAACUAAGAUUCUGUAGAUUUUGGAAAUAUUAUUAAGGCAGUAAUAUUUAUUUGAAUUAUCAAAUAUAUAUGGAUUUAAUAAUUUC